RNAcentral lists this ribosomal RNA (468 nucleotides) under uncultured bacterium. RNAcentral describes it as "partial 16S ribosomal RNA". It matches the Rfam family "Bacterial small subunit ribosomal RNA", at positions 28 to 507 of the family's 1533-position model. The record is from RNAcentral.
GACGAACGCUGGCGGCGUGCUUAACACAUGCAAGUCGAACGGAAAGGCCCUGCUUUUGUGGGGUGCUCGAGUGGCGAACGGGUGAGUAACACGUGAGUAACCUGCCCUUGACUUUGGGAUAACUUCAGGAAACUGGGGCUAAUACCGGAUCGGAGCUCCUGCUGCAUGGAGGGGGUGGGAACGUUUCGGCGGUUGGGGAUGGACGCGCGGCUUAUCAGCUUGUUGGUGGGGUAGUGGCUUACCAAGGCUUUGACGGGUAGCCGGCCUGGGAGGGUGACCGGCCACAAUGGGACUGAGAUACGGCCCAGACUCGUACGGGAGGCAGAAGUGGGGAAUAUUGCACAGUGGGCGGAAGCCUGAUGCAGCAACGCCGCGUGCGGGAUGACGGCCUUCGGGUUGUAAACCGCUUUCGCCUGUGACGAAGCGUGAGUGACGGUAAUGGGUAAAGAAGCACCGGCUAACUACGUG